UUCCUGCCCAAGCCCCGCCUGGGCAACUUAGCAAUUUAAAGAGAACCUGUCCCAAAAGAGGGAGUGGUGUGCGGAUCGGUUCCAUCUCCAGUACUGGAAAAAAAAGAAAACAAAAUCGGAGGCCCUUCCAGAAGGGGGCCCGGCUGCUGAGGUGCGUUUAUUCUACCUUCACUGUGUGCCACAGUCCUCACUCACCGCAGCUGUCCUCAGGUACGGAGACCAGGGAGCAGGAUCAGAGUGGUAAAUGAUUUGCCUACGGUCACACAGCAGGUGCCCAAGUCCUUAAGGAAGUGCAGCUCACUCUGAGGUGGAGGGAGGAUUCGAAGCCGGCGCCAACGCAGAGAUGGAGACAGCGGAACAAAAGGGAAGCGGGUGGAGGGGGCUUCUGCGUGGGGCGGGGGUCUCGCCAGGCCUCAGGAAGGAGGCUGGCGCCGAGGCAGAGCCAGGAGCUGCCCCCGCCGCGGAGAAGGGCCGGGCCUGAGAAGGGGGAGGGGAGGCCCUGGAUCCUGAAGCUGGGUCCUCGAGAGCCGCUCAGCCCCGCGGGCCUGCGGGCCCCGGCUCGGCUCGGCUCGGCUCGGCUCCGGUUUCGGCUCGGCUCAGCUCGGCUCCGGCUCCGCGGCGGCUGCUUCUGUGGUUUCCGAAUGAAGGCGCCUGACUCAAGGCCGCCAUGGCGCCGCCCAGGCGCAGGGCCCCACCGGCCCCGCGGCCGCUCUGGCUCCAUCUCGGCUCUCCUGAGGCUCCGAUGCCUUCGACCUGGGACGCUCAAGGUUCCACGGCUGCCUGCGCUCUAAGCCGUCGCCUCGAGAUGGACACCUGUCUGCCGCUGUUUACUGCUCGUCUUCGCCCUGCCAGCCAACGCGCACCCUGAAAACCCAUCAUGAAAUACUUGGAUUUAUUAUUACUUACUGUCCCCACAAUGGAAGCUCAGGAAGUUAAGAAUUCUUUUUAAUAUGGGCUGGGGAUGUAGCUCAGUGGCACCGCGCCUGCCCGGCAAGUGCAAGGUCCUGAGUUCGAUUCCCGAUACGGGGGCGGGGGGAGACUUGAAGAAAUGUUUUUGUUGGUUUUUUUUGUACCAGGGAUCGAACUCCAGUCCUUGCGCUUGCAGGGCAGGCAGCAGAACCACUAAGCUAAAUCCCCGGCCC
Molecule: long non-coding RNA, 1142 nt
Filed under: Heterocephalus glaber (naked mole-rat)
Lineage: Eukaryota; Metazoa; Chordata; Mammalia; Rodentia; Bathyergidae
Description: lncRNA (ENSHGLG00000039146.1)
Source: RNAcentral